This 455-nucleotide ribosomal RNA is filed under the name uncultured bacterium. Its description in RNAcentral is "bacterial SSU rRNA". It matches the Rfam family "Bacterial small subunit ribosomal RNA", at positions 51 to 500 of the family's 1533-position model. The record is from RNAcentral.
AUACAUGCAAGUCGAGGGGCAUCGGGGGUAGCAAUACCUGCCGGCGACCGGCAAACGGGUGCGGAACACGUACACAACCUUCCUUUCGGUGGGGGAUAGCCCAGAGAAAUUUGGAUUAAUACCCCAUAGUAUAUCAUUAAAGCAUUUUGAUGAUAUUAAAGAUUUACUCGCCGGAAGAUGGGUGUGCGUCUGAUUAGGUAGUUGGUAGGGUAACGGCCCACCAAGCCAACGAUCAGUAACUGGUGUGAGAGCACGACCAGUCACACGGGCACUGAGACACGGGCCCGACUCCUACGGGAGGCAGCAGUAAGGAAUAUUGGUCAAUGGACGCAAGUCUGAACCAGCCAUGCCGCGUGGAGGAUGAAGGUCCUCUGGAUUGUAAACUUCUUUUUUCUGGGAAGAAAUGCAUUUUUUCUAAAGUGUUUGACGGUACCAGAAGAAUAAGCACCGGCUAA